CCUACGGGUGGCAGCAGUGAGGAAUAUUGGUCAAUGGACGAGAGUCUGAACCAGCCAAGUCGCGUGAAGGAUGACUGCCCUAUGGGUUGUAAACUUCUUUUAUCAAGGAAUAAAACGAGGCACGCGUGCCUUCUCGCGUGUACCUUAUGAAUAAGGAUCGGCUAACUCCGUGCCAGCAGCCGCGGUAAUACGGAGGAUACGAGCGUUAUCCGGAUUUAUUGGGUUUAAAGGGAGCGUAGAUGGGUGGUUAAGUCAGUUGUGAAAGUUUGCAGCUCAACCGUAAAAUUGCAAUUGAUACUGGCAGUCUUGAGUACAGUUGAGGUAGGCGGAAUGCGUGGUGGAGCGGUGAAAUGCUUAGAUAUCACGAAGAACCCCGAUUGCGAAGGCAGCUUACUAAACUGUGACUGACAUUGAUGCUCGAAAGUGUGGGUAUCAAACAGGAUUAGAUACCCCAGUAGUC
This 460-nucleotide ribosomal RNA is filed under the name uncultured bacterium. RNAcentral describes it as "partial 16S ribosomal RNA". It matches the Rfam family "Bacterial small subunit ribosomal RNA", at positions 338 to 795 of the family's 1533-position model. The record is from RNAcentral.